UUGUUGGUAAGGUAAAAGCUUACCAAGGCUUCGAUCAGUAGCUGGUCUGAGAGGACGACCAGCCACACUGGGACUGAGACACGGCCCAGACUCCUACGGGAGGCAGCAGUGGGGAAUUUUGGACAAUGGGGGCAACCCUGAUCCAGCCAUGCCGCGUGAGUGAAGAAGGCCUUCGGGUUGUAAAGCUCUUUCAGCCGGAACGAAACGGUUACGGAUAACACCCGUGACUACUGACGGUACCGGAAGAAGAAGCACSGGCUAACUACGUGCCAGCAGCCGCGGUAAUACGUAGGGUGCGAGCGUUAAUCGGAAUUACUGGGCGUAAAGCGUGCGCAGGUGGUUUUGUAAGUCAGAUGUGAAAGCCCCGGGCUCAACCUGGGAACUGCGUUUGAAACUACAAGACUAGAGUGUGGCAGAGGGGGGUGGAAUUCCGCGUGUAGCAGUGAAAUGCGUAGAGAUGUGGAGGAACACCGAUGGCGAAGGCAGCCCCCUGGGUCAACACUGACGCUCAGGCACGAAAGCAUGGGGAGCAAACAGGAUUAGAUACCCUGGUAGUCCAUGCCCUAAACGAUGUCAACUAGUUGUCGGGCCUUUACGGGCUUGGUAACGUAGCUAACGCGUGAAGUUGACCGCCUGGGGAGUACGAUCGCAAGAUUAAAACUCAAAUGAAUUGACGGGGACCCGCACAAGCGGUGGAUUAUGUGGAUUAAUUCGAUGCAACGCGAAAAACCUUACCUACCCUUGACAUGUAUCGAAGCCCGCAGAAAAGCGGGGGUGCCCGAAAGGGAACGAUAACACAGGUGCUGCAUGGCUGUCGUCAGCUCGUGUCGUGAGAUGUUGGGUUAAGUCCCGCAACGAGCGCAACCCUUGUCAUUAAUUGCCAUCAUUUAGUUGGGCACUUUAAUGAGACUGCCGG
RNAcentral lists this ribosomal RNA (916 nucleotides) under uncultured bacterium. Its description in RNAcentral is "bacterial SSU rRNA". It matches the Rfam family "Bacterial small subunit ribosomal RNA", at positions 246 to 1155 of the family's 1533-position model. The record is from RNAcentral.